This 212-nucleotide unclassified non-coding RNA is filed under the name Hevea brasiliensis (rubber tree). The record is from RNAcentral. Lineage: Eukaryota; Viridiplantae; Streptophyta; Magnoliopsida; Malpighiales; Euphorbiaceae.
UUCAUAUGCCUCAUUAUUAUUACAAAAAAUGAGAACUUUUCAAGGGCUUAGAGCAACUAUUUAACAAAAAAGGCAAUGAGAACUGUUUAAUAGAUAAGAUUUAUAUAGAACAAGAAAUUUACAUAUGUAGAAAAAAAUAUUCUAGUUUAAUCAGAUCCUAUAUUAUAGCCAAAAAAGGAGAAUGUCAGAUAUGUACUGUUAGAAUCUCUAAA